This is a non-coding RNA of Acanthosepion pharaonis, 107 nucleotides long. Lineage: Eukaryota; Metazoa; Mollusca; Cephalopoda; Sepiida; Sepiidae. The record is from the annotation of a GenBank genome assembly.
UAUGGCCAUAUUAUGUUGACACACUGCCUCCCGUAUGAUCACUGAAGUUAAGCAAUGUAAACCCUGUCAGUACCUAGAUGGAUGACUACCUGGGAAUACAAGGUGCU